GUACGAAGCGGGGGUGGGCUCUGCGCGUAAUGGCAGCGCCGUGGCCUCGCGUCCAUCUUUACCGUUCUCUCGGACCUGUCACAAAGGAGUCGCGCCGCCGCCGCCGCCCCCUCCUUCCGGUGGGCCCGGGAGGUAGAGAAAGUCAGUGCCACAGCCCGACCGCGCUGCUCUGAGCCCUGGGCACGCGGAACGGGAGGGAGUCUGAGGGUUGGGGACGUCUGUGAGGGAGGGGAACAGCCGCUCGAGCCUGGGGCGGGCGGACCGGACUGGGGCCGGGGUAGGCUCUGGAAAGGGCCCGGGAGAGAGGUGGCGUUGGUCAGAACCUGAGAAACAGCCGAGAGGUUUUCCACCGAGGCCCGCGCUUGAGGGAUCUGAAGAGGUUCCUAGAAGAGGGUGUUCCCUCUUUCGGGGGUCCUCACCAGAAGAGGUUCUUGGGGGUCGCCCUUCUGAGGAGGCUGCGGCUAACAGGGCCCAGAACUGCCAUUGGAUGUCCAGAAUCCCCUGUAGUUGAUAAUGUUGGGAAUAAGCUCUGCAACUUUCUUUGGCAUUCAGUUGUUAAAAACAAAUAGGAUGCAAAUUCCUCAACUCCAGGUUAUGAAAACAGUACUUGGAAAACUGAAAACUACCUAAAUGAUCGUCUUUGGUUGGGCCGUGUUCUUAGCGAGCAGAAGCCUUGGCCAGGGUCUGUUGUUGACUCUCGAAGAGCACAUAGCCCACUUCCUAGGGACUGGAGGUGCUGCUACUACCAUGGGUAAUUCCUGUAUCUGCCGAGAUGACAGUGGAACAGAUGACAGUGUUGACACCCAACAGCAACAGGCCGAGAACAGUGCAGUACCCACUGCUGACACAAGGAGCCAACCACGGGACCCUGUUCGGCCACCAAGGAGGGGCCGAGGACCGCAUGAGCCAAGGAGAAAGAAACAAAAUGUGGAUGGGCUAGUGUUGGACACACUGGCAGUAAUACGGACUCUUGUAGAUAAGUAAGUAUCUGACUCACGGUCACCUCCAGUGGAAUGAAAAGUGUUCUGCCAGGAACCAUGACUUUAGGACUCCUUCAGUUCCUUUAGGACAUACUCGCCAAGCCUUGUGCUCACAGGGCAAAGGAGAAUAUUUUAAUGCUCCGCUGAUGGCAGAGUAAAUGAUAAGAUUUGAUGUUUUUGCUUGCUGUCAUCUACUUUAUCUGGAAAUGUCUAAAUGUUUCUGUAGCAGAAAACACGAUAAAGCUAUGAUCUUUAUUAGAG
RNAcentral lists this small RNA (1241 nucleotides) under Pan troglodytes (chimpanzee). RNAcentral's name for it is "retained intron". The record is from RNAcentral. Lineage: Eukaryota; Metazoa; Chordata; Mammalia; Primates; Hominidae.